RNAcentral lists this ribosomal RNA (387 nucleotides) under Enterococcus faecium. Its description in RNAcentral is "bacterial LSU rRNA". It matches the Rfam family "Bacterial large subunit ribosomal RNA", at positions 1 to 383 of the family's 2925-position model. The record is from RNAcentral. Lineage: Bacteria; Bacillati; Bacillota; Bacilli; Lactobacillales; Enterococcaceae.
GAUAAGGUUAAGUGAAUAAGGGCGCACGGUGGAUGCCUUGGCACUAGGAGCCGAUGAAGGACGGGACUAACACCGAUAUGCUUUGGGGAGCUGUACGUAAGCUAUGAUCCAGAGAUUUCCGAAUGGGGGAACCCAGCAUCUUUAAUAGGAUGUUACGAUUGUGUGAAUACAUAGCACAUUCGAGGUAGACGCAGAGAACUGAAACAUCUAAGUACCUGCAGGAAGAGAAAGAAAAUUCGAUUCCCUGAGUAGCGGCGAGCGAAACGGGAAAAGCCCAAACCAGCAAGCUUGCUUGUUGGGGUUGUAGGACUCCAAUAUGGUAGUUCUUUCAGAUAGUCGAAUGACUUGGAAAAGUCAGUCAAAGAGGGUAAAAACCCCGUAGACGAA